UGGUAUACCUCUCAAAAUGGUCUGAUUUUCCUGCUCGCUCGUACGCUCGCCAGGCUAGUUGCGAAUUUUCGCUCGCGGUUUCGCAGCCAAAGUGGCUCCCGGUGCGCACCGGAUCCUGAAGAAAAAGGUAGCCCGUGCGAAUCGAGACACAGUCGGGUCUUGUUGUUUUAUAUCGGUUGCCGGUUCCGGGUGUUUGUGUGCAGUCAGUAAGGAAUUUCGUUUUCGGUUUCCUUGAUACAGUGCAAUUUUGAGUCCUGCUGGAAAACUUGGCUCCAGGCGAAAGUUUCCUCGUGUACGUGUGUAUGUGGGGGUGUAUAAAAAAGAGAGCAGAAGGGAGAGCCAGGAUAGAUCAAAGCCCUUUCGGUCAAUCCGUGGAUAGAAUCGUUGCGCAACCUGUACUAAACCGAAUCUAGUCAUACGUACAACGACAUAGUUAAGCAAAAAGUGUGAUAUUCAAAUGACCAUGACAUUUGAACAUUUUAUCGAGUAAAGAAAAUACAAACAAAACAGAUCCCACGGUCGGACACUCUCUGCGAGAACGCAUCUACCCCCUCAUUGACCAAUCUAGUCGGGACCGCGCACAGUUGUUCAUCUAGAGCACUUCUUUCGUCUUCACCAUUCUUCAAACCUAAUGCUGCUCAUCAAACAUUUGACAUCGUACCGUAACGGACACUACCGGCAGCAAUCAAUCGCUUCUCAGCGUCUACGCGUUCUAGCUUUUAUCGGCUAACAGCCAUCGCCAGUCAACACCGGCAGUAGCCCUUCGCGCGUCCUCCCUCGUUUCGGGUCGGGGUAGUUGAAGCCGACCAGCAGCAUCCGCACGCCGCUGGUGGUGGUUGAGGUAGUUGAGGAGAACCCCGACCACAACUCGGGCGAAUCCUGACACUCAACUGUCGCCAAAUCAUCGAUCUCAGCAAGACCACCCGACCCGUUUUUGAGCGCACGGACAAGCUGAACGGCUCCAAAAUUACGGACAACACGAUGGAGGACCUGCUGCAGGCUGGCCACGUGGUCAAGGAGCGGUGGAAGGUUCUGAAAAAAAUAGGCGGCGGUGGUUUCGGUGAGAUCUAUGAGGGCCAAGAUUUGAUCACGCGGGAACAGGUCGCCCUCAAGGUGGAAUCCGCUCGCCAGCCCAAGCAGGUGCUGAAAAUGGAGGUGGCCGUACUCAAGAAGCUGCAGGGCAAAGAGCAUAUCUGUCGCUUCAUCGGGUGCGGCCGAAACGAUCGCUUCAACUACGUGGUGAUGCAGCUGCAGGGCAAAAAUUUGGCCGAACUGCGACGAUCUCAGGCCCGCGGGGCUUUCUCGCUCAGCACCACGCUGAGGAUCGGCCUCCAGAUACUCAGAUCGAUCGAGUCAAUCCACUCGGUCGGGUUUCUUCAUCGUGAUAUUAAGCCAAGCAACUUUGCCAUUGGAAGGUUACCGUGCAAUAAUCGUAAAAUUUACAUGUUGGAUUUUGGUUUAGCUAGACAGUAUACAACCGGCACCGGCGAGGUACGAUGUCCCAGGGCUGCCGCCGGUUUCCGUGGUACUGUGAGAUAUGCUUCGUUGAACGCGCACAAAAAUCGAGAAAUGGGUCGACAGGACGAUCUGUGGUCUUUGUUCUAUAUGCUUGUUGAGUUUGUUACUGGCCAGCUUCCGUGGCGUAAAAUUAAGGAUAAGGAGCAAGUUGGAUUAUUAAAGGAAAAAUACGAUCAUCGUUUGCUACUCAAGCACUUGCCUUCAGAUUUCAAGUACUUCUUAGAUCACAUUCAAUCGCUUAACUACGCUGAUAAGCCGGACUAUGCAAUGUUAGUGACCCUAUUCGAGCGCUGUAUGAAGCGACGUGGCGUAAAGGAGACGGACCCAUUCGACUGGGAGAAGACGGAGGAGAACACCGCCGACCAUGCCGGCGGAGAAGCCAAAGUAGUAAACGCAGCCGUACCAAAGAGUGAAUUAGAGAAACGAAAAGCGAUUCCAGACUCGGUGAAGGUAAUGCACACCGAACCGAUUGAGUCCAUCAAGCCGCAAAAUGCACUGACAAAUGCUAAACCGCCGAGUGCGGCCAACCCGGGCCAAGCAAACAAUGAGAAGUUCACUGGGGAUCCGCUGGAUCCACGACUGCAGCAAGCUUUCAAGGAUGCUCUGAUCGUCAGCCAGGAGGCACCUAAAGCGAAGCCGGAGAUCCCACUCGUCCGGGCCCACACGGAUGUGAACAAACCGUCGAAACACGGUGGCAGCCGGUUGCGAAUCCUGACGGCACCACCGGUGAACAUCAAAGAUUUUGCGUCCUCGAUCGAUAGUUUGCAUCAGCACUCGCAGGCGAACGACAUCAAUCUGUCGGAGGCGAAAGCGAAAUUGAAGACGGAAGCGGACGAGGUCAGCUGUACGCCAGUCGACAACCAGACCGGAACCGGAACCGGCGGAAGGGGAGCCGACAGUGCACCACUGCAGAGCUCCCUGACCAAUCGGCAAUCGUUGCAUUUGGGAGGCAAAAGCUUACGCUCGUUCGCCACCCAAUCGGCCAAGUACAGGAGCGUGGCGGAUGACAAGAGCUGUCGGGACUUUUCCAUCACACAGCACGCCAUCAUUGACGACGACAAUGCCAGUCAGCAUCAGACCCCCAAGUACCAGGGGGCCCUCACGUUGGCCUCCCAGUGGAAGAGCCAGUUUGACGACUCGGACGAUUCCACCGAUGGGCUGUGGAAAGGCGAGCAACAUUCCGAAACCGCUUCGAAGAAGAAUAUCAAGGAGCAGCAACACAAGCAAAAUAACAACAACACAUCGACGAGUGCUAUUGUUAAUAAUACCACUACUAAUAACGCUAAUACCACUACAAACAACCCCGCAGACCUUGCAAAUAAUCUCAACUCCUAAUUUAUUGAUUAAAAUAUGAAAAAUAAAAAGAGGCAAAAGCGUAUAAAGCAGUAUAAAGCAGGCCGCACCGUUGCCGUGGGUUUCGCGUGUGAUUUCAUAACGCCAGUGAUGUAUCACAUUGUUUGGAGCUAUAUUUGAUAGUCAGAUGCCGUAGCAUUACGACACACAACGCGUGCGUGGGGUACUCAAGUGAAAUUACCAGCGUGAUAAUAUCACCCGUUCGACGUUGAAUGUUUCCUGUUUGGUCAAAUCGAGGCUACUCCAGAUUGUAUAUGGGCUGAAAAAUGGGAUGAGGAUCUAAGCACCGUCUGCGGGUACACACAACAACGGCUACUACCGAACAGCCAUAUGCAAAAUAGACCACCACCGAACGGAAAUGGCUUCCUGGGGUUUCGUGGAUCCUCUCCAGUGCGAUCUCAGCUGAUCUCCGCCCACUGUAUUUCCUGCUUCGGUGUGAAAUGCCUGCGCUGUUUUUCACAUCUCACAACCUCGCGUUCGAUCCUCGAGAUGAUCACACAAAAUAUAUGUUGUUCGAUGAUCCGCACCACCGAAAAAAAACACACAAAUCGAUCAUAUAGGUAAGCCACACGAAUUAUUGUGGUGCCACAAGCGGAGCACAAGUACCGAAAACGCAGCAAGCGGAACGAGUGAAGCGAACGCGACUGCGAACGACGAACUGCACGAGAGAGCUCCAAAGGCACGCCACGGACUGCCGUGAGCCCUGCGCUAAGAUGGCGCUCCCUACCUGAAAUGCGCACGGUAAGACCGAACAACUCGCGAGGGUGAGCGCCACACCUAUACAACAACAAUGUACGGCUCACCCGCGCGGGUCCGCGUUUGUAUUCGUAGCAGACUUAACGGUAACAACAUCAACCCAUCACAUCCAUCCGUCCGUUCGAGCUGCGAGAGCUGCGACUUGCGAGGGAGAGAGCAAACUAAACAUAAGGCAACAACUGAAACAUAAAAAUUAGCGGGGGAAAGCAUUGCAUUUAUGAUGACCGCCGCCGAAUCCAGGAUGUGUGUGGGUCAUAAAAGUCCGUUGGUGAAA
RNA transcript from Toxorhynchites rutilus septentrionalis, 3901 nucleotides. It is a transcript of the gene named tau-tubulin kinase homolog Asator, with no coding region annotated. NCBI's taxonomy places the organism in Eukaryota, Metazoa, Arthropoda, Insecta, Diptera, Culicidae. The record is from RefSeq and is a predicted model, not a curated record. The transcript is spliced from 12 exons.